RNAcentral lists this ribosomal RNA (1014 nucleotides) under Triticum aestivum (bread wheat). Its description in RNAcentral is "partial small subunit ribosomal RNA". Lineage: Eukaryota; Viridiplantae; Streptophyta; Magnoliopsida; Poales; Poaceae. The record is from RNAcentral.
AUGAAUCAAGGACAAGGGGAAACAAGCUAUGCUCGCAACUCCUUUGUUCAGAAUGGUGAGCAGAAGAGAAUGAAGCCCCUGAUAGAAACGGCUAUCCUUGAUUUAUGCCCCAGCACUAGCACGUUGUUGCCCACAAAGAUGGUGAUUGCCGACCUAGGGUGCUCCUCUGGCCCAAACGCGAUAGCGCUAGUGUUGAUUGCCGUAGAGGCCAUCCACAAUCACUACCACCAGUUCUUACAGCCACCUCCCGAAGUGUCUGUGCUCCUCAACGACCUGCCUGACAACGACUUCAACAUGUCUAUUGUCAUGACUGGGGUUUUACCGGGGUCAUUUCACGAGAGGCUCUUCACUAGUGGUUCCUUGCAUCUUGUCUGCUCGUCCAACAGCCUGCAUUGGCUCUCGAAGGCUCCUGAAGGUCUGACAAUGAACCAGAUCCCGGCGUAUGACAUUGACGAGCAUACCAGGCUUGAAAGGCGCCCAAUGGUCCUUCAGGCUUAUGCACAACAGUUCAGGAAAGAUUUUACACGUUUCCUCGAGCUGAGGGUGAAAGAAAUGGUCCCAGGAGGCCGGAUGGUUGUUUCUCUUGCAGGGAGGGAUUCUGAUGUAAUCACCCCCGAAUUCUCUCCCCUCUGGGAAUUCAUAGCUCAGAUUCUAAGCAUCAUGGUCUCAAAGGGUGUAAUUGACAAAGCAAAGUUUAACUCUUUCUAUUUGCCUGUGUAUGAACCUUCCAACAAAGAGCUGAGGGAGAUCAUCCAAGAUGAAGGCUCAUUUUCAAUCACUGAGAUGCAGGUGAACAAUCCUUUUGUCGGUCUGGACAGCGCACUUGUGGUCCCAAGCAGGUUUGCUAGCGUGACCAAAGCCAUAUUUGAGCCGAUAAUAGUCCAUCAUUUUGGAGAAGUCAUGGAUGAAUUCGUGAGGACCUUGGAACGACGCUGGAUCUUGGAAGGCAGCUUGCAAGUCGAUCUUGCCAAAAGCCCACGACCAAUGCUAGCGGUAUCCCUCAAGAAGGCAUGA